This 481-nucleotide ribosomal RNA is filed under the name Pucciniomycotina sp. RS. RNAcentral describes it as "LSU rRNA". It matches the Rfam family "Eukaryotic large subunit ribosomal RNA", at positions 90 to 610 of the family's 3401-position model. Lineage: Eukaryota; Fungi; Basidiomycota. The record is from RNAcentral.
CGAGUGAAGUGGGAAAAGCUCAACUUUGAAAUCUGGCAGCUUCGCUGUCCGAGUUGUAGUCUCGAGAAGCGUCUUCCGCGCUGAAGCAUGCAUGAGUCUGUUGGAAUACAGCGUCAUAGAGGGUGAGAACCCCGUUCGUGGCAUGCCUUUCAGUGCUUUGUGAUGCGCUUUCGAUGAGUCGAGUUGUUUGGGAAUGCAGCUCUAAUUGGGUGGUAAAUUCCAUCUAAAGCUAAAUAUUGGCGGGAGACCGAUAGCAAACAAGUACCGUGAGGGAAAGAUGAAAAGCACUUUGGAAAGAGAGUUAAAAGUACGUGAAAUUGUCGAAAGGGAAACGAUUGAAGUCGGACGUGCAGGGCAACUUGCAGGCCAACAUCGGUUUUAUUAGCCGGAUAAAGGUCAGAGGAAGGUGGCAGCUUCGGUUGUGUUAUAGCCUCUGACUGAAUACGGAUAGCGAGACCGAGGACCGCAGCGCAAGCUUAGG